RNAcentral lists this ribosomal RNA (481 nucleotides) under uncultured bacterium. Its description in RNAcentral is "partial 16S ribosomal RNA". It matches the Rfam family "Bacterial small subunit ribosomal RNA", at positions 29 to 506 of the family's 1533-position model. The record is from RNAcentral.
AUUGAACGCUGGCGGCAUGCUUUACACAUGCAAGUCGAACGGUAACAGGCCACAAGGUGCUGACGAGUGGCGAACGGGUGAGUAAUGCAUCGGAACGUGCCCAGUCGUGGGGGAUAACUACUCGAAAGAGUAGCUAAUACCGCAUACGAUCUAUGGAUGAAAGCGGGGGACCGUAAGGCCUCGCGCGAUUGGAGCGGCCGAUGUCAGAUUAGGUAGUUGGUGGGGUAAAGGCUCACCAAGCCAACGAUCUGUAGCUGGUCUGAGAGGACAACCAGCCACACGGGGACGAGGCAACGGCCCAGACUCCUACGGGGGGCAGCGGUGGGGAAUUUUGGGCAAUGGGGGAAACCCUGACCCAGAAAUGCCGGGGGAAGGAAGAAGGCCUUCGGUUUGUAAACUGCUUUUGUACGGAACGAAACGGCUUUGGUUAAAACCCGGGGCUAAUGACGGUACCGUAAGAAAAAGCACCGGCUAACUCCGU